AAUGAACGUUGGCGGCGUGGAUUAGGCAUGCAAGUCGAGCGCGAUUGGUUUUUUGCUUGCAUUGAACCAUGAAAGCGGCGAAAGGGAGAGUAACGCGUAGAUACCUGCCCCUAGGUCUGGGAUAGCGUCGGGAAACUGGCGGUAAUACUAGAUAAUGUCCCUGGACCAAAGGUGUGAUUCCGCCUAGGGAUGGAUCUGCGUCCUAUUAGCUUGUUGGUGAGGUAAUGGCUCACCAAGGCUGUGAUGGGUACCGGGUGUGAGAGCAUGGCCCGGCUCACUGGGACUGAGACACUGCCCAGACACCUACGGGUGGCUGCAGUCGAGAAUCUUCCGCAAUGGACGAAAGUCUGACGGAGCGACGCCGCGUGCGGGAUGAAGGCCUUCGGGUUGUAAACCGCUGUUAGCGAGGU
This 410-nucleotide ribosomal RNA is filed under the name uncultured bacterium. Its description in RNAcentral is "bacterial SSU rRNA". It matches the Rfam family "Bacterial small subunit ribosomal RNA", at positions 29 to 445 of the family's 1533-position model. The record is from RNAcentral.